Molecule: non-coding RNA, 185 nt
Filed under: Orrella daihaiensis
Lineage: Bacteria; Pseudomonadati; Pseudomonadota; Betaproteobacteria; Burkholderiales; Alcaligenaceae
Description: Orrella sp. f23 6S RNA
Rfam family: 6S / SsrS RNA
About the family: E. coli 6S RNA was the first non coding RNA to be sequenced, but its function was unknown until recently. It consists of 184 nucleotides that fold into an extended hairpin structure with a large single-stranded internal bulge.
Source: RNAcentral
UUGUCCCUGCGGUGUUCGUGACUUGACCAUAUAGUCUCUGAACCGAUGCUUUUGGCAUUUAGGUCGCUGGUUAGUCAGGUGGGAAUGCACGUCUCUAGUCAGAUGAGCUCGAAGCCCGUCACGAGGCGACCGACCUUGAACCUAGGGUUCGAGAUGCCGGUCUGGACGGCAUUCGCGGGGCUUUU